GUGUCAGCCGCCGCGGUAAUACGUAGGACACAAGCGUUAUCCGGAGUUACUGGGCGUAAAGGGCGUGUAGGCGGACCUAUAAGUCUAUUCUGAAAGCUCCUGGCUAAACUGGGAGAGGCGAAUGGAGACUGUAGAUCUAGAGUGAGGAAGAGGAAAGUGGAAUUCCGCGUGUAGUGGUGAAAUGCGUAGAGAUGCGGAGGAACACCAGUGGCGAAAGCGACUUUCUGGUCCUUAACUGACGCUGAGGCGCGAAAGCAUGGGGAGCGAACGGGAUUAGAAACCCGGGUAGUCC
RNAcentral lists this ribosomal RNA (292 nucleotides) under uncultured bacterium. Its description in RNAcentral is "partial 16S ribosomal RNA". It matches the Rfam family "Bacterial small subunit ribosomal RNA", at positions 505 to 796 of the family's 1533-position model. The record is from RNAcentral.